This 274-nucleotide ribosomal RNA is filed under the name uncultured bacterium. RNAcentral describes it as "partial 16S ribosomal RNA". It matches the Rfam family "Bacterial small subunit ribosomal RNA", at positions 523 to 796 of the family's 1533-position model. The record is from RNAcentral.
AUACGGAGGGUGCGAGCGUUAAGCGGAAUUACUGGGCGUAAAGCGUACGUAGGCGGUUGGUUAAGUUAGAUGUGAAAGCCCCGGGCUUAACCUGGGAACUGCAUUCAAAACUGGCGAACUAGAGUUGAGUAGAGGGGAGUGGAAUUUCAGGUGUAGCGGUGAAAUGCGUAGAGAUCUGAAGGAACACCAGUGGCGAAGGCGACUCCCUGGACUCGAACUGACGCUGAGGUACGAAAGCGUGGGUAGCAAACGGGAUUAGAAACCCUAGUAGUCC